Molecule: ribosomal RNA, 630 nt
Filed under: uncultured Bacteroidota bacterium
Lineage: Bacteria; Pseudomonadati; Bacteroidota
Description: bacterial SSU rRNA
Rfam family: Bacterial small subunit ribosomal RNA
Source: RNAcentral
GUCGAACGAGGUGCUUUUGUAGCAAUACGAGAGUAUCCUAGUGGCGAACGGGUGAGUAACGCGUUGGUGACCUACCCCAAAGUGUGGGAUAACAGUCCGAAAGGAUUGCUAAUACCGCAUGUGGUCAUUGGAUUUAGAAACUGAUGACUAAAGGAGCAAUUCGCUUUGGGAGGGACCUGCGUCCCAUCAGCUAGUUGGUGAGGUAACGGCUCACCAAGGCGACGACGGGUAGGGGACCUGAGAGGGUGACCCCCCACAAUGUAACUGAAACACGGUCCAUACACCUACGGGUGGCAGCAGUAGGGAAUAUUGCACAAUGGGCGAAAGCCUGAUGCAGCAACGCCGCGUGUGUGAUGAAGGCCUUCGGGUCGUAAAGCACUUUCCUGGGAGAUGAGAAAGGACAGUAUCCCAGGAAUAAGUCUCGGCUAACUACGUGCCAGCAGCCCGCGGUAAAACGUANGAGGCAAGCGUUAUCCGGAUUCACUGGCGUAAAGCGCGUGCAGGUGGCGCCGGUAAGUUGGGUGUGAAAUCUCCCGGCUCAACUGGGAGAGGUCAUUCAAUACUACCCGUGCUUGAGAGCAGAAGAGGAAGAUGGAAUUCCCGGUGUAUGGUGGAAUGCGUAAGAUAUCG